GUAACGAGCGCAACCCUUGUCCUUAGUUACCAGCACGUUAUGGUGGGCACUCUAAGGAGACUGCCGGUGACAAACCGGAGGAAGGUCGGGGAUGACGUCAAGUCAUCAUGGCCCUUACGGCCUGGGCUACACACGUGCUACAAUGGUCGGUACAAAGGGUUGCCAAGCCGCGAGGUGGAGCUAAUCCCAUAAAACCGAUCGUAGUCCGGAUCGCAGUCUGCAACUCGACUGCGUGAAGUCGGAAUCGCUAGUAAUCGUGAAUCAGAAUGUCACGGUGAAUACGUUCCCGGGCCUU
RNAcentral lists this ribosomal RNA (295 nucleotides) under uncultured Pseudomonas sp. RNAcentral describes it as "partial 16S ribosomal RNA". It matches the Rfam family "Bacterial small subunit ribosomal RNA", at positions 1089 to 1382 of the family's 1533-position model. Lineage: Bacteria; Pseudomonadati; Pseudomonadota; Gammaproteobacteria; Pseudomonadales; Pseudomonadaceae. The record is from RNAcentral.